Molecule: ribosomal RNA, 459 nt
Filed under: uncultured bacterium
Lineage: Bacteria
Description: partial 16S ribosomal RNA
Rfam family: Bacterial small subunit ribosomal RNA
Source: RNAcentral
CCUACGUGUGGCAGCAGUGAGGAAUAUUGGUCAAUGGGCGAGAGCCUGAACCAGCCAAGUCGCGUGAGGGAAGACGGUCCUAUGGAUUGUAAACCUCUUUUGCCGGGGAGCAAAAAGCGGUACGUGUACAGCAUCAAGAGUCCCCGGAGAACAAGCAUCGGCUAACUACGUGCCAGCAGCCGCGGUAAUACGGAGGAUGCGAGCGUUGUCAGGCUUUAUUGGGGUUAACGGGUGCGCAGGCGGAGAGUUAAGUCAGCGGGAAAAGUUCGGGGCUCAACCCCGACAAGCCGUUGAAGCUGGCGUGCUAGAGUGGUCGAGAAGGAUGCGGAAUGCGGGGUGUAGCGGUGAAAUGCAUAGAUAUCACGCAGAACUCCGAUUGCGAAGGCAGCAUACCGGCGCCCAACUGACGCUCAGGCACGAAAGCGUGGGUAUCGAACAGGAUUAGAUACCCUGGUAGUC